Molecule: ribosomal RNA, 468 nt
Filed under: uncultured bacterium
Lineage: Bacteria
Description: partial 16S ribosomal RNA
Rfam family: Bacterial small subunit ribosomal RNA
Source: RNAcentral
GACGAACGCUGGCGGCGUGCUUAACACAUGCAAGUCGAACGGAAAGGCCCUGCUUUUGUGGGGUGCUCGAGUGGCGAACGGGUGAGUAACACGUGAGUAACCUGCCCUUGACUUUGGGAUAACUUCAGGAAACUGGGGCUAAUACCGGAUAGGAGUUCCUGCUGCAUGGUGGGGGUUGGAAAGUUUCGGCGGUUGGGGAUGGACUCGCGGCUUAUCAGCUUGUUGGUGGGGUAGUGGCUUACCAAGGCUUUGACGGGUAGCCGGCCUGAGAGGGUGACCGGCCACAUUGGAACUGAGAUACGACCCAGACUCCUACGGGAAGCAACAGUGGAGAAUAUUGCACAAUGGGCGGAAGCCUGAUGCAGCAACGCAGCGUGCGGGAUGACGGCCUUCGGGUUGUAAACCGCUUUCGCCUGUGACGAAGCGUGAGUGACGGUAAUGGGUAAAGAAGCACCGGCUAACUACGUG